RNAcentral lists this ribosomal RNA (753 nucleotides) under Triticum aestivum (bread wheat). Its description in RNAcentral is "partial small subunit ribosomal RNA". The record is from RNAcentral. Lineage: Eukaryota; Viridiplantae; Streptophyta; Magnoliopsida; Poales; Poaceae.
AUGACAUUUGACGGAACAACUGAUGGACGUGGUGGCCGCCAUGGAGGUGUUCGACAGGUUGAUGAAGUGUACCUGGGUACAAACGACUCUAGGGUGGACAGCGAUGUCGUAAAAGGCGAGCGGGUGUGUCGGUGCUGGUUGCGAACGUCCGACAAUGCCUGGUUGCCCUACCGACCCGUUUGGGACCCGAUCGACCACUUCACUUCCCGAAGGCCGAAACCCACAAAGCGUCCCCCGUCGCCGUCUUCGUCCACCCUCCCGCUAAACCCACUCCACACCACCCACCCACCGCCGCCUGCGCCUAGGGUUCCGCCCCCCAUGACCGUCGGCGAGCCGGAGAUGCCGGCGUCGGCGCGCAGGCGUUUGUUCCUCGCCAGCGUCGACGCGCUCAUCUUCCUCAAUUGCGGGCUGUUGUGGGUCGAGGUUCCCCCCGCGCUCUGGGCGGCGUCCUGGGUCUCCAUUUACUUCCUUAUGUUGCUCGGCCCCGUUGCCUGGUUCCUCGCCGGCGCGCGCUCCUCGCGCUCCCCGUACACCACCACCGACGCCUACAAGGACUUGAUGGGGAUCCUUGUUCCGGGGGCCUUCAUUCUGCUCGCAAUUGAUUAUGAUAAGGUGGUGGGUCUGCUGGGUGUGGAAGGAUCCCAGAGGGAACGGAUUGGUUCAACAGUGAGGGAUUUGGGGUUAAUGGGUGCUGGUGCAACAUGUUUGGUCACCUUAACAACUAUGAUACUGAGGCAAUGGAGGAUGAAGUAG